This 613-nucleotide ribosomal RNA is filed under the name uncultured bacterium. RNAcentral's name for it is "bacterial SSU rRNA". The stretch from base 1 to 522 matches the Rfam family "Bacterial small subunit ribosomal RNA", at positions 338 to 873 of the family's 1533-position model. The record is from RNAcentral.
CCUACGGGAGGCAGCAGUGGGGAAUAUUGCACAAUGGGCGCAAGCCUGAUGCAGCAACGCCGCGUGAGGGACGACGGCCUUCGGGUUGUAAACCUCUUUUAGUAGGGAAGAAGCGAAAGUGACGGUACCUGCAGAAAAAGCACCGGCUAACUACGUGCCAGCAGCCGCGGUAAUACGUAGGGUGCAAGCGUUGUCCGGAAUUAUUGGGCGUAAAGAGCUCGUAGGCGGUUUGUCGCGUCUGCUGUGAAAUCUGGGGGCUCAACCCCCAGCCUGCAGUGGGUACGGGCAGACUAGAGUGCGGUAGGGGAGAUUGGAAUUCCUGGUGUAGCGGUGGAAUGCGCAGAUAUCAGGAGGAACACCGAUGGCGAAGGCAGAUCUCUGGGCCGUAACUGACGCUGAGGAGCGAAAGCAUGGGGAGCGAACAGGAUUAGAUACCCUGGUAGUCCAUGCCGUAAACGUUGGGAACUAGAUGUGGGGACCAUUCCACGGUCUCCGUGUCGCNGCUACGCAUAGUUACCCGUCCGUCGGGAGGUACGGCCGCGACGGACGUAAACUUAAAUAGAAGUUAGACGGCGUGAGACGUCGCCGACGGACGACGACGAGGGAGGUUAGG